CCCCCAUGCGGUUGCUGAUGCAUGUCUUUUCAGCCAUCCAAUCAACUGGGGUGCAAUUUGCACUUGCCUCCAUUUAUCACAUUCACCGUUCCUCCCUUUUCAUUUUUCUCAAACCCAAACUUCCUUUCUCUGGUUUUCCCUCCUCUACUCCUUUUAUAGAAACUUAUAAAGAAAUUCUUGCAAAACUGUGCAAUGAAAAAAGCUCUUAGGAGGCCUGCUUCUCAAGGCUUUGUGUGCUUGUAUGAUUUUGUUUUAGGUUUUUCUAUGACCCAAUUUGGGAAGUAUUUGAGAAAUAUGGUCUUAGGGUUUCUUUCAUGUUUGGCUGAUGGGAUCGGGUUGAAUUUUGGGGUUUUCCAUGACCCAGUUAGGUAAGUAUCAGAAAAACACUUUGCUGGAGGGUUAUUAUGUUUCUUGAAGGUGGAUUGGGGAUUCCUUCUAUUCUUUUCCAUGACCCAAUUAAGUAAGAAUUAGAAGAAUAGGGUGCUAGGGUUUCUAUCAUGGUUUUGAUGGUGGAUUAGGGUUUUGUGUCAUGGUUUUAGACUUUUAGCCAUGACCCAAUUUGGCAAAAGCAAAAAAUGAUGGUGCAAUACAACAGGUAGGUAGCAUGCAUCAAUGUUCUCCUUUUCCCAAAAUAGAAACCCUAGAAUCUUGGUGCAAUUACUUCUUCAUGGUGGUUAUAGGAUACAUAUCCCACACCAAGCAAGGCAAGGCCACAUGGUGGUUCAAAAAAGAGAAAGGUUGGUUUAGGGUUUCUUCCUCCUCUCAAGACAUGGAAACUCAAAUGGUGGUUUAAGGAAACAAGGAGGAAGGUUUAGGGCUUUUUAUUGGCAAAUAUGGAAGGUUUAUCUCAACUGAUGGCUUCAUGCUUCUCCACGGCUUUCUUGAACUUAGUUUGAAUAAGGUGAGCCUUCUUACAAGAUCAAGAAAGCUGCGGAAAAACAUAGAUCCACUCAAAAUUAUGAACUUUCAACAGAGAGAUAGAUCUCCAAGGUGUCAAUGAGCCGAGUCGAGUGGUGCCGAGCUGAGCUUACAGGUCCAAGGUUUGCGUGGGUCAUGGACCAGCUUGGGCUAGACUUGGCUCGACUCGUUCACUUAAAUCAAGCUCACAAUGAGCCGUGACUAGGCAGAAACAAGUCUAGUACAAGCUUACAAACAAGGCAAGAUACAAUCUGAUUGCCAUAUUACGGAACAAUACAAUUUAUUGAAUGGAGUUUCCUAUUUUUAUGUAACAUAUAUUGUACUUUUUUCUGUAUCAUAAAUAAAACAAAUAUUGUAAACACACAUUGGGCCGAGCUCAAGUCGAUGUUAUUUCAGUUUGAGCUUGGCUUGUUUAAUAAUACCCUAGAAUGUGCAGCUUGGCUUGGCUUGCCAUAUUAGUCUUCCUCAAGCUUGGCUCCUCAUGAGCCGACCCGACCCAACUUAGUUUGUUGAUCCUCCUGGUUACUUUUUUUUCCCUCUUUUUUUAACCACCAUCAAUGCAAUAGAAGACUGAAAUAGGAAACCAAAAUAUUAGUUGUCU
Long non-coding RNA from Amborella trichopoda, 1519 nucleotides. RefSeq lists it as uncharacterized. The record is from RefSeq and is a predicted model, not a curated record. NCBI's taxonomy places the organism in Eukaryota, Viridiplantae, Streptophyta, Magnoliopsida, Amborellales, Amborellaceae.